CUAAUCCCCAGUUUCUGUGAGUGUGGCCUUAUUUGGAAAUAGAGUCUCUGCAGAUGUAAUCAAGUUAAGACAAGGUCAUCGUGAAUUAGGUGUCCAAUGAUUGAUGUCCUUAUGAGAAGAGAGGGAGAUUUGAAUACAGACACAGAGACACAAACGGAGGAAAGAAGGCUGGUGACUGAGUCCUCGCCCCCCAUCUCCUAUGCCUACACAGAGGAGAACUCUUUGUAAACAUCAAGUGUCAUGACCAUCAGCCCCUGGCAAACAUCUGGUCUGCCUUCACUAGAGGACCAUUUUCAAUUACCUUGGGGAUAAGAAGAUUGGCCCUGAUGGAAAGUGAAUUGCUCAUGAGAUACAGUCAAUGAAAGAAAAAAAGAAAACUGUACUUUAGCUCAGGAACUAGAAUAAAGUUUCCAAAAAACA
RNAcentral lists this long non-coding RNA (420 nucleotides) under Pan troglodytes (chimpanzee). RNAcentral describes it as "lincRNA". Lineage: Eukaryota; Metazoa; Chordata; Mammalia; Primates; Hominidae. The record is from RNAcentral.